Molecule: ribosomal RNA, 692 nt
Filed under: uncultured bacterium
Lineage: Bacteria
Description: bacterial SSU rRNA
Rfam family: Bacterial small subunit ribosomal RNA
Source: RNAcentral
AACGCUAGCUACAGGCUUAACACAUGCAAGUCGAGGGCAGCAUGUCUUAGCUUGCUAAGGCCGAUGGCGACCGGCGCACGGGUGAGUAACACGUAUCCAACCUGGCCUUGACUCGGGGAUAGCCUUUCGAAAGAAAGAUUAAUACCCGAUGGCAUGGUUUUCCCGCAUGGGGAAUCCAUUAAAGAUUAAUCGGUGAAGGAUGGGGAUGCGUCCCAUUAGCUUGUUGGCGGGGUAACGGCCCACCAAGGCUACGAUGGAUAGGGGUUCUGAGAGGAAGGUCCCCCACAUUGGAACUGAGACACGGUCCAAACUCCUACGGGAGGCAGCAGUGAGGAAUAUUGGUCAAUGGCCGAGAGGCUGAACCAGCCAAGUAGCGUGAAGGAUGACGGCCCUACGGGUUGUAAACUUCUUUUAUAAGGGAAUAAAGUGCAUCACGCGUGGUGUUUUGUAUGUACCUUAUGAAUAAGCAUCGGCUAACUCCGUGCCAGCAGCCGCGGUAAUACGGAGGAUGCGAGCGUUAUCCGGAUUUAUUGGGUUUAAAGGGAGCGCAGGCGGACGCUUAAGUCAGUUGUGAAAUCCCGCGGCUCAACCGUGGAAUUGCAGUUGAUACUGGGUGUCUUGAGUGCGGCAGAGGCAUGCGGAAUUCGUGGUGUAGCGGUGAAAUGCUUAGAUAUCACGAAGAACUCCGAUUG